Molecule: long non-coding RNA, 1349 nt
Organism: Zalophus californianus (California sea lion)
Lineage: Eukaryota; Metazoa; Chordata; Mammalia; Carnivora; Otariidae
Exons: 4
Source: RefSeq, a predicted model, not a curated record
GGAAAGUAGCACAGAGGCUGGGCGGCUAAGCCAUCCUGGUCAUAGUCCAGGCAGGCUUCCUGGAGGAGGCGACAUCUGAGGAAAUAACGAGGAAGACUCUGACAGAGCCCACAAUGCCCGCGGAUGGUGGGGAAGGUGCCAAGAGGCAUGCUGGCUAGCUGAGGCUAACAAUCUGGGAUUUUAAAUAUCCAUGAGAGAUAAAAGUGGACGAGUCACAGCCAUGGGGAAAAGGGGUACACAACAAGAGAAGCCAUGCCCUUGUGCUCAGGAUACUUUUCAGCUCACCGUCUGUACUGACAGGAAGCUCGUGGAAACAACACCAGGACAAGUGUGAAGCUCACAUAAGGCAGCAGGUGUGAGUGCCCCCUGGGAUCUGCAGAGCCAAGGCACGAUGCUGUGAACGCUAUGCUCCAUUCAAAAAGACUUCUAUUCAAGUCCUGGCUCUGUCAACUGUGUGAUCUUGGGCAGGUGCCCUCCCCUCUCUGAGUGUGCUCACUCAUCAGCAAAAUGAAGAUGGUAAUUCCUUCCUCAUUCUUUUGCAUGCCGGGUUACAGGGAAAAAAAUUAAAAUAAAAAUAGUCUGAUCCCCGGAGCGCUCUGCAGAUGCUGAUUACUCUACUAUUGUAGUCUACUCAAUGAGCUCCUUGAAGGCAGGUACGUGAUCCCCCCUCUUCCUCCAGCACCUUCCACAGAGCAGGUGCCCAGACACCACCCGGUCCACUUGGUCUAGUUAAUUGCUUUGUAUAGUCGCGCGGGAGCAGGAAGCCAGCACUUCCGGGCUUGCAGGCGGGCGGUGGGGCGCGAAGAUCUCUCCGCCUCCGUCUCCACUAACCCCUCCUCUUCUGAGUCUCAGCGGUUCAGUAUCUGCCGAAACCGGUUCUGCUCAGGUGCUCGGGAAGCAGGAGACCUGCCGGGUCACCUUCAGGUGGUGGUCCCUCAAGUCCAUCAGCAGCUCCAGGAUAUGGUGUGACCCGGGUCAGGAUCAGUGCACCACACAGGUCGCACCUAUGCUCCUCCAGAGCAGCGCGGCACCCAAGCGUAGUGUAGACACACCUAGGGCAGGGAUCGUCCAAUCUCGAGAAGACAGCUUUAUAACAAGGGGUUCCGUGGAGAGCUUGUGGCGACGUGGAAAGAGCGGGCGCCAGGACGACCGCCUGGAGCCAAGGAUGGCUGUGUGCCCUUGUCUAAGUCACUUCCCACUCUGUUCCUCAUUUUCCUUCUCUGUGAAAUUGGCUACAGUGCCCGCUGGGCCAGCCAAUCGCUGCGGGAAUUAGAUUCAAAGGACUGCUCCAACAGCCCCCUCCCGCGACCCUGUGCCGGGUCCGACUAGUCAGGGCCCGCGGCCGCCAC